This is a long non-coding RNA of Dendroctonus ponderosae (mountain pine beetle), 384 nucleotides long. RefSeq lists it as uncharacterized. Lineage: Eukaryota; Metazoa; Arthropoda; Insecta; Coleoptera; Curculionidae. The record is from RefSeq and is a predicted model, not a curated record. The transcript has 2 exons.
CCUAAAUAAGAACAUUAAUAAAGUCCCUGUUACUAUAAUGCAGUAGUUCUAGUUUUGCAAUGCAGGACAAGGCUAUGUAAAAUGAGUCAGAACAUCUGGGUUACCUGGUCGAGAGAGAGAUAACCCUAUAAUCAUAGCCCUUACUUAGCUCACAGCCUCAUGACCAAGACGAAGAACUGUUCCAGAUGGAAAUUUGCACUUCCAUCGAAUUACAAGUAAAAUGGAAAUCGGGAGAUUCCUUUCUCAAUGUACUUUUAACUUUACUAGUAAAACAACUUACCUUUCUUAUCACUCAUCUUUAGCUGUUUCAAAACACUAACACAAUACAGAUUCAACAAGAUUUACUAAUCCAAUCAAAUAAAAGGCAAGUUUAUAACUCUUUUA